Molecule: ribosomal RNA, 253 nt
Filed under: uncultured bacterium
Lineage: Bacteria
Description: partial 16S ribosomal RNA
Rfam family: Bacterial small subunit ribosomal RNA
Source: RNAcentral
CACGUAGGAGACGAGCGUUAUCCGGAUUUACUGGGUGUAAAGCGCGUGCAGGCGGUCUGGUAAGUUGGAUGUGAAAGCUCCUGGCUUAACUGGGAGAGGUCGUUCAAUACUGCUGGACUAGAGGAUGGCAGAGGGGAGUGGAAUUCCGAGUGUAGCGGUAAAAUGCAUAGAUAUUCGGAAGAACACCAGUGGCGAAGGCGGCUCUCUGGGCCAUUUCUGACGCUCAGACGCGAAAGCUAGGGUAGCAAACGGG